UAUAUGGCUUUAGGUACUGUUGGUGGUGCCUCUCCAAAGUGUUGUGAUCUGGUACUAUAUAUGACUCAAUAGAGAGCUAUUUGGGGUUAUGAUUCAGUUUUCACGUGAGUACAUUUGUUGAUCUUAGGCAUAUAAUUUCCUUGUGUUGGUUAAAGUGUGUUUCUAAACCAUCAUUUUGGUUAGAUCGAGGGACUGGAUUUACUGCUAGGGACUGGAUUUACUGCUAUCAGCUACAGUAUUAACUUUAGAAGAGUUCUUUUUAAUUGUAGUUUUUAGCUGAGACUUGCAAGACUACACCAGAAACUAGAAUAAUAUACUAUCGGUUCCUCCUGUACACCAACAUAUGUUUCAACUCUGAACUUGGUACCCAUCAAGGCUGUAAAAUCUUUGGUCCCUGCUUAUUGUUUCGCCAUGAAAGAAUUAUUGUAGGUAAAAGUCAAUCGCUUCUACACCUGACCACUGAUUACUUGUAGAUAAACUUGCUCUGCUUCCCUAUAUAUAUAUAUAUAUAUAUACUGGUCAUAAGAAGUUAUAGUGAAGUCACUCGAUGUACUUUAGGAGUCUUGUGAAUUUGAAAUACAUAAUGUUUAUUGACUUUAAAAACUUUUUAUUUUUUCCUUAAUGCUCUCUUUGUUUCUUGUUCUCAAACUUGGAGGUUACAAAUGUACUUAGACCAUGAAACAUGUUCUCUAUAUUUUUAGUGUCGCUUUCCAACAUUUUAGUGUCCAUAUUUUUAUUGUCUUCAGUAACUGAUCAUAUAUCUUCAUGGAGUAGGAAUAAUGGUAGUCAGUAGUCUAUAUUUUGCCAUUGAAAUCUGAGGUGGUAGUCAGAUUAUUGAAACUGAAUUCAGUGAGCUUCCUAAAAAUCUUCACGCCUUGCUAUACUACUGCUGCAGUUUUCAAUGCAGUGCCCAACAAACCAAAUAUCUUCAUUGGGCGCGAGCAAAUAUUCUUCAACUUAGUGUUUUUAGUGCUGCUUUCAAACCGGCAUAUAUGGUGAAAAUCUCAACUUUAUUUUGUUGUUUUUAUCCUAUCCUAUUGCUAUGCUGCAUGUGAGAGGACGUUAAUAUGCUACAUUUACCCACCAACUAUUUUUUGGACAUGUAUUGAUCAUGCUUGCAUAUUUAAAUUAUAGUUUAUGAAUUUAUACAUGUCUUAAGUUGACAUAGAUAAACAGAAGAACAUCGGCUACUUAAAUGCAAAUCAGAGAAAGCAUUAUCAGCCAUCAGCUACUUAAAAAGCAUAUCAGAUAAAUGUCGCAGCUCAUAAAAUGCGAUUAAAAAGGUUGCCUCUUUGAAAACCAUGAUCAGAUACUAACUAAUUUAUGACUGUCAAAUACCUACUCUUUUAUGCCAUAAGUAUCUGUCAUAUGUAUGCAUACUCUUUUUUAUGCAAAGUUCACCAAUGUCUCCAAUUUUACAAAAACAUUCCGAAAUAAUUAGUGCACGCAACAUUGUAGUGUUAUUCUGCUACAUGCUACUUUUCAGAUUCUUGUCCAGUACAAAGUGUAUGAAAAUCUAAUCAGUAUUCUGCUACUCCUACAUAUUGUCCUUGUAGUUCUAGCAGCCUUUUUUCUUAUAAUGCUUUGUUAAAUUGAGUGAUUAAAUUAUAGUAUAAGUUUCUUUGCACUGCUUCUCAAGAGGCUAUCAUUUCUAUUUAUCGCUUGAAAUAGGGUUCCUGUUUGACUUUUCAAGAUGUGUGUUUCUUUCGGCUGCUAAUUAUAUUCAUAUCAAGGUCGCCGGACUAUUUUUUUGGUAACCAAUGAUUAAUGUCGAUUGACUCUCUUUUCUGAUAGUUUGCUACUUUCUCUCUUUUUUUAACAUCAUCGAUUGACUCUCCCCCCUUUAAAAAAUCAUGCAUGAUGAAUGAAAAUAGUGUAAACUGAAAGGUGUAAGUGGAGCAUGCUUCACUAACUCUUGUUUCACUUUUCUUUCUUCAGACUCUAGAAAACUGGUGUUGUGUGCCAAUAAUUGCAGCUUCUAUAAAUCUGGUAUUUUGUGCCAAUAAUUGCAGCUUCCAUUUAUUCCAAAGUCAUGAAGAAUGACGCAGAAAGAUUCCAUUCUUUUAUGGCUUCUUACGGACUAUUGGGCUGAAGCCAAUUGUACAAUUCUUCAUGAAGCCAAUUGCCAUCAAUCCAAAAAAAUCUAUCUUGUGAAAAGGAGUAUAGCGAUAAUUGAAUCUGUCCAAAAAAAAAAAUCUAUCUUCACCUGAAAAGGAGUAGCUUGUGCUCAUCGAUGAUGUUUAAGUGUCGAGAAAGCAUAUGGAAUGUAUUUUUCAACCAUAUGAAUUCUUGUGUGAUGAGGUAACUGAUAUAGUAGAGUUUAUGAGCUUGCGAUGCCACACUUUUCGUGACUGUGUUAAUUUCAUGAACUUUGCUUUUUGGAUUAUUAAAUGUCACUUUGACAUCAAUAUU
This is a long non-coding RNA of Sorghum bicolor (sorghum), 2412 nucleotides long. RefSeq lists it as uncharacterized. The record is from RefSeq and is a predicted model, not a curated record. The transcript is spliced from 2 exons. NCBI's taxonomy places the organism in Eukaryota, Viridiplantae, Streptophyta, Magnoliopsida, Poales, Poaceae.